UACGUAGGGUGCAAGCGUUAAUCGGAAUUACUGGGCGUAAAGCGUGCGCAGGCGGUUCGCUGUGUCCGAUGUGAAAGCCCCGGGCUUAACCUGGGAAUGGCAUUGGAAACUGGCGGGCUUGAGUGCGGCAGAGGGGGGUGGAAUUCCGCGUGUAGCAGUGAAAUGCGUAGAGAUGCGGAGGAACACCGAUGGCGAAGGCAGCCCCCUGGGUCGACACUGACGCUCAGGCACGACAGCAUGGGGAGCGAACGGG
This 253-nucleotide ribosomal RNA is filed under the name uncultured bacterium. RNAcentral's name for it is "partial 16S ribosomal RNA". It matches the Rfam family "Bacterial small subunit ribosomal RNA", at positions 524 to 776 of the family's 1533-position model. The record is from RNAcentral.